CCUACGGGAGGCAGCAGUGAGGAAUAUUGGUCAAUGGGCGAGAGCCUGAACCAGCCAAGUCGCGUGAAGGAUGGCGGCCCUACGGGUUGUAAACUUCUUUUGUCAGGGAGCAAUUGGGUCCACGCGUGGGCUUAGCGAGAGUACCUGAAGAAAAAGCAUCGGCUAACUCCGGGCCAGCAGCCGCGGUAAUACGGAGGAUGCGAGCGUUAUCCGGAAUGACUGGGCGUAAAGGGUGCGGAGGUGGUUCGGCAAGUUAGUAGCGUAAUUCCGGGGCUCAACCUCGGAACUACUACUAAAACUGUUGGGCUUGAGUGGAGGAGGGGCAUAUGGAAUUCCUAGUGUAGCGGUGGAAUGCGUAGAUAUUAGGAAGAACACCAGUGGCGAAGGCGAUAUGCUGGACUGUAACUGACACUGAGGCACGAAAGCGUGGGGAGCAAACAGGAUUAGAUACCCGAGUAGUC
RNAcentral lists this ribosomal RNA (461 nucleotides) under uncultured bacterium. Its description in RNAcentral is "partial 16S ribosomal RNA". It matches the Rfam family "Bacterial small subunit ribosomal RNA", at positions 338 to 795 of the family's 1533-position model. The record is from RNAcentral.